This 64-nucleotide transfer RNA is filed under the name Psacothea hilaris. RNAcentral describes it as "tRNA-Pro". Lineage: Eukaryota; Metazoa; Arthropoda; Insecta; Coleoptera; Cerambycidae. The record is from RNAcentral.
CAAGAAAUAGUUUAUUAAAAUAUUAAUUUUGGAGAUUAAAGAUAGGAAGAUUUCCUUUUCUUGA